RNAcentral lists this ribosomal RNA (477 nucleotides) under uncultured bacterium. Its description in RNAcentral is "bacterial SSU rRNA". It matches the Rfam family "Bacterial small subunit ribosomal RNA", at positions 38 to 518 of the family's 1533-position model. The record is from RNAcentral.
GGCGGCGCGCCUAACACAUGCAAGUCGAACGGAGAGCGUGUUCUGAAUUCUCGGAAGGAAAGAUACGUUCUAGUGGCGGACGGGUGAGUAACACGUGAGCAACCUGCCUUGCAGAGAGGGAUAACGAUUGGAAACGAUCGCUAAUACCACAUAACAUACAGAUAUCGCAUGAUGACUGUAUCAAAGAUUUAUCGCUGCAAGAUGGGCUCGCGUCUGAUUAGAUAGUUGGUGAGGUAACGGCUCACCAAGUCGACGAUCAGUAGCCGGACUGAGAGGUUGAACGGCCACAUUGGGACUGAGACACGGCCCAGACUCCUACGGGAGGCAGCAGUGGGGGAUAUUGCACAAUGGGGGAAACCCUGAUGCAGCGACGCCGCGUGAGGGAAGAAGGUUUUCGGAUUGUAAACCUCUGUCUUUGGGGACGAUAAUGACGGUACCCAAGGAGGAAGCUCCGGCUAACUACGUGCCAGCAGCAGC